Molecule: long non-coding RNA, 521 nt
Organism: Mastomys coucha (southern multimammate mouse)
Lineage: Eukaryota; Metazoa; Chordata; Mammalia; Rodentia; Muridae
Exons: 3
Source: RefSeq, a predicted model, not a curated record
CUCAAGCUACACCCACUGUGGCUCACAGUUUCUUCUGCUGCCCGUGAAUCUACAUGUCAAACUCUGAGCUCCUUCUCCAGCACCAUGCCUGCCUGCAUGCCACCAUGCUUCCAUGAUAAUGGACUAAACCUCUGAAUCUAAUGUAUCUCUAGGCUGAUCCAGUGCCACAGAGCUCCAUACUCAAAUACUGCUGGGAGAGAGCUGGUCUCCAGGAGUGCUGACACACUUGUGAGCACACCCCUGUGAGCACAGGGACUGUUUCGUAUGGACACCAGAGUCAAUCUAAAGUGGAAGUACAGUCUUCAACUUUGCAUUACUAAAGAAUGCUUCCGGGAUGAAUUCACAGAAGACAGAGAUGUCACAAUACAGUCAUCACAAUGUCAACAAGACCAAAAAGCACUCAGCUUUCCCCAAACUCAUCCACGCAGUUUAAGCAAUUCUUCCUACUGGUACAUGUGGGGAUGGGGAAGGGGGUGAGAAGGGCUCUAAGCAACAUUAAAUUCACAUUUAAAAUUCCUAAA